Molecule: non-coding RNA, 22 nt
Filed under: Rattus norvegicus (Norway rat)
Lineage: Eukaryota; Metazoa; Chordata; Mammalia; Rodentia; Muridae
Source: RNAcentral
CUUUAAAGAGCCCUCGAACGUC